This is a long non-coding RNA of Pseudopipra pipra, 450 nucleotides long. RefSeq lists it as uncharacterized. The transcript has 2 exons. The record is from RefSeq and is a predicted model, not a curated record. NCBI's taxonomy places the organism in Eukaryota, Metazoa, Chordata, Aves, Passeriformes, Pipridae.
CUCCCUCCCUCCCUCCCUCUCCCCCUCUCCCUCCCCCUCUCCCCCUCUUUGCAGCACAGGAUGACGGCAAUGGCCAGGAACAGGACAAUGGCCAUGGAUGAGGACAAGCCCGCCCAGGCCUCCUCUGCCUCCUCCGCCCCCCGCGGAUGGACCUCAGGCUUCCACAGGAUGGGCAAAGAACCCCCAGGAUCCUGGGCUUCCCAUCGGCCAGACCCACCCAGCUGGAUGGACACUGGGACCAGGAUUAACAUCCCAGCAUGAGGAUAGGGAUCAACGCUGGGACAAGGAUCAACCAUCCUAUCAUGGAUCGACGCUGGGACAAGGAUUAACAUCCCAUCAUCUGGACAAACACUGCCUCCUGGUAACCAUUUUUUUCUUCCUCCCUCCCUCUCUUCUUCCCUCCUUCCCUCCCUCCUUCCCUCCCUCUCUUCUUUCUUUCUUUUUCUUUCU